GCAAACUUGGUCAUUUAGAGGAAGUAAAAGUCGUAACAAGGUCUCCGUUGGUGAACCAGCGGAGGGAUCAUUACCGAGUCUAACAACUCAUCAACCCUGUGAACAUACCUAAACGUUGCUUCGGCGGGAACAGACGGCCCCGUAACACGGGCCGCCCCCGCCAGAGGACCCCCUAACUCUGUAUCUAUAAUGUUGUUUUUUCUGAGUAAACAAGCAAAUAAAUUAAAACUUUCAACAACGGAUCUCUUGGCUCUGGCAUCGAUGAAGAACGCAGC
This 275-nucleotide unclassified non-coding RNA is filed under the name uncultured fungus. RNAcentral describes it as "partial contains small subunit ribosomal RNA, internal transcribed spacer 1, and 5.8S ribosomal RNA". The stretch from base 1 to 73 matches the Rfam family "Eukaryotic small subunit ribosomal RNA", at positions 1759 to 1831 of the family's 1831-position model. Lineage: Eukaryota; Fungi. The record is from RNAcentral.